UGUUUCUUCACAUCAUAGUGAGAGCAUCAGAAUCAAAGUGGAAGAUUCAAGGAUCUCCACAUCUGGAUCAACUGUUACAACAUCAAAUUCUGUCACAACUGGAAUUGGUCAGCAUCUCAAAUUCAUUUUGCCAGUUGCUGUUGUGCUGUUUUUACUGAUGUCAGCAGCAAUUCUGGGCUUCCACACCCUGAAACACAAGAGAAACAAACCCGACAGUAAAAG
Molecule: non-coding RNA, 222 nt
Organism: Lepisosteus oculatus (spotted gar)
Lineage: Eukaryota; Metazoa; Chordata; Actinopteri; Semionotiformes; Lepisosteidae
Source: RefSeq, a predicted model, not a curated record